UAAAAUAUAAUUUAAAUAAAAAUAUUCAAUUUCGACUUGAGAAAUAUUCUAUAUGAAUUAUUUUUA
RNAcentral lists this transfer RNA (66 nucleotides) under Eurytoma sp. TJS-2016. Its description in RNAcentral is "tRNA-Arg". The record is from RNAcentral. Lineage: Eukaryota; Metazoa; Arthropoda; Insecta; Hymenoptera; Eurytomidae.